This is a long non-coding RNA of Carya illinoinensis, 1638 nucleotides long. RefSeq lists it as uncharacterized. The transcript is spliced from 2 exons. The record is from RefSeq and is a predicted model, not a curated record. Lineage: Eukaryota; Viridiplantae; Streptophyta; Magnoliopsida; Fagales; Juglandaceae.
CUGUUUUUAAUAAAAUCUAUUUUUUAACUAAUCAUAAUAAAUUAGUGUACAUAUUAAUACAUAAAUAUAUUUACAACUAAACUUUUCCUUAGAUUUAUAUUUAUAUUUUAUUUUUCAGUCAUAGCUACUUUAAUCACAAGUUGGAUUUGUCAUCUGUGAGGAGGUGGAAAGAUGGUUUGUGCUGCGAGAAUUCCUUCUAGCUGGUCGGGUUGGCUUUUCCCAUUUAACAGCCACCCAAUAAUAUUUUGACACGUAAGUCUUCCACCUGAACUAAUGUAGACUUUUGAUACAUCGAAUCAUCCUCACCGAAAUCAUCACUUCCACCUGUGCUCGUGCCCUUCCACCCAAUGAGACCUAGAAUCGUAUAGUUCGAACCCCGAACGCGUGCUCGUGCUCGUGCCGUUGCAGGUGAAGGAGCGAGUCGGGAAAUACUUCGCCGAAGGAGCGAAUCGUGCUCGUGCCGUCGCAGGUGAAGGAGCGAAUCGGGAAAUACUUCGCCGCGAAUCAUGCUCGUGUCUUCUUCUCUACGAUUUCGACGCCGGUAAGCAUUUUUCCAGCCACUGAUUUCACACUCAGAUUGUCACCACCACUCACGUACACACACUUCAAUUCGUGAAUAUACAAAUAGUUAUGAAAUAGUCAUGAAAUUUUUAGGAUUUGUAGUCUCGAUCUAAAAUUUGAAAUUUAGCCCCAAAUUUAUGAAAUUGGAUCUCAGAAUUGGGUCAGAAAACUCAUUUAGAAAAGAAAAUUAACUUUGUUGCUUAAAUGAGUGAUGAUCACUCAGAAGAGUGACGGCGGGAAAAUGAGUGAAGCCAACAUGGAAAGAGUCAAUGGCAGAGAGAAAUCUCCCACACGCAAGCGGAUUGGCUGCAUAGUGAGAGUGAGGGGAAGCUUCACAGAUAUGGAAAGGAAGAGCAGAAUGAGAGUGACAAGAAAGAGAAGAAAAAGGGGAUGGGCAAGGAUCAAAACGUCAAGAUGACAUGAUCUUGAGGCCAAGGCUUGUCUUGGAUAAGAGGAGCAUCAGAGUGAGGUUUAUGAAUGGUGGAAAGAGAGAGCGCAAAUCCAGGAGGAGCAAGUUCUAGAGAAUGGCCUCCUCUUCUGCUUCAAGUGAGUGUACUGGAAAAGGGGAAGACAAAGCGUGUGUUGAGCGACCAUUCUGCUAUUGUGGAUGCCAAGCAUCGUUACGGAUUUCAAGAAAAUCCAAUAGUUUUGGUAGAAGAUUUUACAAUUGUCCAAAUUAUAAAAUGAAGCAACAAUGUGAAUUUUUUGAGUGGAUUGAUCUUCAAAGUGACCAAAACAACUGCUGUAAGCUGACAUUAGAGUUAGCGGAACGAAGAAACGAGAGGGUACUUCAUGAGCGUCUACGCAUUGAACAAACUAGAUUCAAAUCAAUGGAGAAGAAGUACAAUAGAGUCUUGAUUGUGUUAAUUUUGUCAUGGUUUUAUUUUUUUUGGUUUGUGCUGUAAUUUAAGACGUCUUGGUUAGUGUAAUUUAAGACAUGUUUUGGUUAGUUAGUGUAACUUGAACAGAUGUAACUGGAUGGUUAGUUUAUGUAACUGGAUGUAACUUGUUGGCCCUUUAUGUAACUGGAUGGUUAGUUUAUGUAACUGGAUGUAGCUGGAUGUUUUGGUUAGUUUA